Molecule: long non-coding RNA, 513 nt
Organism: Quercus robur (English oak)
Lineage: Eukaryota; Viridiplantae; Streptophyta; Magnoliopsida; Fagales; Fagaceae
Exons: 3
Source: RefSeq, a predicted model, not a curated record
UGAGGACAAAACGCGGAAGAUUUAUGGACCCUCAGGGGUCCAUAAAUCAAAACGCGCUAUGUGCGUUUACAAUAUUACCGUUGCAAUAACCAAAAAGACCGAAAUACCCAGCUAUUUCUCUCACGCCCAUCAUCUCUCAUCUCUGCUCUCCCUUCGCAUUUGACGCCUCCAUCUCUUCUCUCUGCUUGCUCUGCCCUCUCCGUACCAAAAACACUGAUCUGCUACCAAAAACCAGAUGGGUAAAAACACAACUUCCAACCCCGAGGCAAAAAAGGCUAGAGCAUUAUGGGAUAAUAAUUCAAGCUGGACCACUACUUUUUGUAAUCUUUGUGUGGAACAGAUUCAAGCUGGACCACUAUUUUUUAUAUAAUAUCCUGUAGUACAAUUUAAACUUGGGUUAUUGGUAUGUAUUUUAUCAUCUUUUUUACAUUUUUGUGUUGUACAAUUUAAACUUAGAUUAUUGAUAUGUAUUUUAUAUGUUUUUACAUUUUUAUGUAGUACAAUUUAAACUUA